Molecule: ribosomal RNA, 857 nt
Filed under: archaeon enrichment culture clone O07_3131
Lineage: Archaea
Description: bacterial SSU rRNA
Rfam family: Archaeal small subunit ribosomal RNA
Source: RNAcentral
CCCCACUGCUAUCGGGAUAGGACUAAGACAUGCUAGUCGAGUGACUCAGGCAAAACGAGUCACGGCACACAGCUCAGUAACACGUGGCUAAUCUGCCCUUGGGACAAGGACAACCCCGGGAAACUGGGGCUAACUCUUGAUAGGCGAAGAACACUGGAAUGUGUCUUCACCCAAAAAACUUCACGUUAUCCUCGUGAAGUCGCCCAAGGAUGAGGCCGCGACCGAUCAGGUUGUUGGCGAGGUAAUGGCUCACCAAGCCUUUUACCGGUGCGGGCCGUGGGAGCGGGAGCCCGGAGAUGGGUACUGAGACAAGGACCCAGGCCCUACGGGGCGCAGCAGUCGCGAAAACUUUGCAAUAAGCGAAAGCUUGACAGGGCUAUCCCGAGUGCCAUCCGCUGAGGAAGGCUUUUACCCAGUCUAGAACGCUGGGGGAAUAAGGAGAGGGCAAGUCUGGUGUCAGCCGCCGCGGUAAUACCAGCUCUCCGAGUGGUGUGGAUGUUUAUUGGGCCUAAAGCAUCCGUAGCUGGCUAAGUUAGUCCCUUGUUAAAUCCACCGAAUUAAUCGUUGGAUUGCGGGGGAUACUGCUUGGCUAGGGGACGAGAGAGGCAGACGGUAUUUUCGGGGUAGGGGUGAAAUCCUAUAAUCCCGGGAAGACCACCAGUGGCGAAGGCUGUCUGCUAGAACGCGCCCGACGGUGAGGGAUGAAAGCUGGGGGAGCGAACCGGAUUAGAUACCCGGGUAGUCCCAGCUGUAAACGAUGCAGGCUAGGUGUUUGGACGGCCACGUGCCGUUCUAGUGCCGCAGGGAAGCUGUUAAGCCUGCCGCCUGGGGAGUACGAUCGCAAGAUUGAAACUUAA